CUGAUCCAAUUGGCGCUGAGUCGACUCCAAGCGCUCACAAUUCAAAUUGAUUUUUGUUUACAGUCCGUUGUUGACUUUCUGACGCGUUCACCGCUACCUGGAGUUCAUCACGUUCAUUUCGCUUGCGCGAGCAGCGCAGUAGCAGCUGCCGAAGAACGUGACCACGUAGUGCCAACGUAGAGGCAAGUAGUCAGCAGCAGCGAUAGAAGUGGUAGUUGACGUUGACGUUGAAGCAGGAGCAACAAGCAGCCAACAACAGUUUGGUGUUUGCAGGGAAUGAAUUGCUGCACAUAACACUACAACAUCGCGUCACUGGCGGUUGCGUAGCGCGGAUUGUCGCAUUCAUUUGAACUUUAUUUUCAGCUCGUGUUCGUAUUUUUACGUCGAUAAAAGUGCAUGCUAUAAAAGUGAUCUAAUGAUUGAAGUGAUUCAUUAUACAUACAUAUAUAUGUAUGUACACUAAAAGUAAAAAAUAUAGCAUACAGUGAAGAUUGCAAAAAACUAAAUAUUACAUUAAAGUGGAGUGUUUUUAUUAAAAAAAUACAUAAUUUGAUUUGAAUUUCAUCGGCAAACAUUUAUUGCAUUCCUUGAUACAUCAACAUACAUACAUAUAUACUCAACAAUGGAUAACAGACCGCAAAAAACUUUGGAGCUAGAAAGGUAAAUUGCAAAAGCUUUUAACGGUGCAGACGGUAAGACGAUUGUUGCUCGGAGUAUGCAAGUUAAGAUUCAAGAAAAUUUAAAUUGUAAAAUCCUAAAGAAAAAAUUUACUAACUAAUGAA
Molecule: long non-coding RNA, 782 nt
Organism: Rhagoletis pomonella (apple maggot)
Lineage: Eukaryota; Metazoa; Arthropoda; Insecta; Diptera; Tephritidae
Exons: 3
Source: RefSeq, a predicted model, not a curated record